RNAcentral lists this ribosomal RNA (1217 nucleotides) under metagenome. RNAcentral's name for it is "bacterial SSU rRNA". It matches the Rfam family "Bacterial small subunit ribosomal RNA", at positions 277 to 1520 of the family's 1533-position model. The record is from RNAcentral.
CGAUCGGUAGCCGGACUGAGAGGUUGAACGGCCACAUUGGGACUGAGACACGGCCCAGACUCCUACGGGAGGCAGCAGUGGGGAAUAUUGCACAAUGGGGGAAACCCUGAUGCAGCGACGCCGCGUGGAGGAAGAAGGUCUUCGGAUUGUAAACUCCUGUUGUUGAGGAAGAUAAUGACGGUACUCAACAAGGAAGUGACGGCUAACUACGUGCCAGCAGCCGCGGUAAAACGUAGGUCAAAGCGUUGUCCGGAAUUACUGGGUGUAAAGGGAGCGCAGGCGGGAAGACAAGUUGGAAGUGAAAUCCAUGGGCUUAACCCAUGAACUGCUUUCAAAACUGUUUUUCUUGAGUAGUGCAGAGGUAGGCGGAAUUCCCGGUGUAGCGGUGGAAUGCGUAGAUAUCGGGAGGAACACCAGUGGCGAAGGCGGCCUACUGGGCACCAACUGACGCUGAGGCUCGAAAGUGUGGGUAGCAAACAGGAUUAGAUACCCUGGUAGCCCACACUGUAAACGAUGAUUACUAGGUGUUGGAGGAUUGACCCCUUCAGUGCCGCAGUUAACACAAUAAGUAAUCCACCUGGGGAGUACGACCGCAAGGUUGAAACUCAAAGGAAUUGACGGGGGCCCGCACAAGCAGUGGAGUAUGUGGUUUAAUUCGACGCAACGCGAAGAACCUUACCAAGUCUUGACAUCCGUUGACCGCUGUAGAAAUACAGUUUUCCUUCGGGACAGCGAGACAGGUGGUGCAUGGUUGUCGUCAGCUCGUGUCGUGAGAUGUUGGGUUAAGUCCCGCAACGAGCGCAACCCUUAUGGUCAGUUACUACGCAAGAGGACUCUGGCCAGACUGCCGUUGACAAAACGGAGGAAGGUGGGGAUGACGUCAAAUCAUCAUGCCCUUUAUGACUUGGGCUACACACGUACUACAAUGGCGUUAAACAAAGAGAAGCAAGACCGCGAGGUGGAGCAAAACUCAGAAACAACGUCCCAGUUCGGACUGCAGGCUGCAACUCGCCUGCACGAAGUCGGAAUUGCUAGUAAUCGUGGAUCAGCAUGCCACGGUGAAUACGUUCCCGGGCCUUGUACACACCGCCCGUCACACCAUGAGAGCCGGGGGGACCCGAAGUCGGUAGUCUAACCGCAAGGAGGACGCCGCCGAAGGUAAAACUGGUGAUUGGGGUGAAGUCGUAACAAGGUAGCCGUAGGAGAACCUGCGGCUG